This is a long non-coding RNA of Monodelphis domestica (gray short-tailed opossum), 2833 nucleotides long. Lineage: Eukaryota; Metazoa; Chordata; Mammalia; Didelphimorphia; Didelphidae. The record is from Ensembl.
AUGGAGAUCAUGCUGGGCCAAAGGCACCUCAGGGAGAGCAACAGCCUGUGGCCCGGCUCUCCAGAGUCCCUUUAUAGGGGGCCCUGGUGGCUCCUGGAGGUUCCUCUGAAAAGGCGAAGGGGGCCUGGGGAGGCUGCAACAGCCUCAAGCUACAGCCCUGCUCAAAGACUUCAGAGCUUUCCCCAGAGCCCCUGCCUAGAAUGGGGGCUGCCUGUCCUUCCCUCUCCAGAGCUAGCUGAGCAGCGGGCCUCCAGCUUUGGCUCUGAGCUCUGUGGCAAAGGCCCCGGGGCGCCUCCUGAGACAGGCCCAAACUUUCGGGUGGCCCCCCCACACCCCCUUUGUGGCCAGGGGCUGGAGAGGGCCUUCCUCCGGGGUGCUGCCCCCUUCUUCCUUGUCCUGCCUUGCAUGGGACCCGGGGAAUGCUGCCAGCUGGCCCCCCCUGACCCUCCUGACCCAUGCAUGAGGUCACAACGGGGGCCUCCUGGCUGUGUUACGCCUGGGAGGCUGCCCCUUCUUAGCUCAGCUGUCCCAGAGAGCCAUAGCCAGUCUGCCCUCCCCACAGAGAGUAUCCUGGCCCUCCUCCAGCAGCCCCCUCCACCCCCACCCCAGAGCCCUGAUCUUCAGGCGCACCGACACUCCCUGAGCCCAAUGAAACCCCGGAAACCCUCACCAGUUGUCCAGCCCGGAGAGCUCCACCUGCCGGAAGAGGAAGUGGAAGCGGAACUGUCGUUCCCGCUGUGCUUCCCCAAGCCUGGCCCUCUACAGAGAGCCAUGGCGGAGGGCAACUACCCGCCCCUACCCGCCCCUCGGGCCCCUCACGGCCAUGUUCGAGAGCGACUUUGUGCAGGACGAGAGCGCCCCGAUGUCCGCAGCGGAGGCCCCCCCCAAACGGAAGGAGGUGGCCUUCCCUCCCCAGUACCCAUCCCAAGGACCAAGGGGAGCCCGGCCUGGACCGGGGACAAAGCACUGCACUACCCGGGGCCGCUCUCCCAAGUGAUUGACCAGCAGAGCGCCCCGGCCCUCCCGGAAGUGAAGUCGGAAGUGAUGUCGAGAGCGGAAGCCGCCCACAUGCCCUUUGGUCCCAGCAGAAGCUCCCAGUCAGGAGAGAAGAGGAGCGGAAGCUGCCGCACCAUUGGAGACGUCCUCUUCAGGGCCCUCCAGGCCACCCUCCCAAGAGCACCCCCAGGAGCGGGGCACUGCCAACAAGCUGCCGCUUCCCCAAGAGCAGCCGCAGCCCCAAGAACUCCCCCAAGACCAGCCGCAGCCCUAAGAGCUCCCCCAAGACCAGCUGCAGCCCCAAGAGCUCUCCCAAGACCAGCCGCAGCCCCAAGAGCUCCCCCAAGACCAGCCGCAGCCCCAAGAGCUCCCCCAAGACCAGCCGCAGCCCCAAGAGCUCUCCCAAGACCAGCCGCAGCCCCAAGAGCUCCCCCAAGACCAGCCGCAGCCCCAAGAGCUCCCCCAAGACCAGCCGCAGCCCCAAGAGCUCUCCCAAGACCAGCCGCAGCCCCAAGAGCUCUCCCAAGACCAGCUGCAGCCCCAGGAGCUCCCCCAAGACCAGCCGCAGCCCCAACAGCUCCCCCAAGACCAGCCGCAGCCCCAAGAGCUCCCCCAAGACCAGCCGCAGCCCCAACAGCUCCCCCAAGACCAGCUGCAGCCCCAAGAGGGCCCCCAAGAGAGGCGCCAUUCCAAGGGCCACCGCCAUUCAAAAAAGUGGCAGCUUCCCCAAGAGCAGCCAAAGCCCCAAAAGCUCCCCCAAAAGCAGCCACACUCCCGAAGGCGGUGCGAAUGCAAAGAGGCACAGCAGCCACAGCCCCAAGAGCAGCACCCAGCUAAGGAGCGUGACUCCUCAGGGGAGCCCAGAACCCUGGCAGCAUAUGUAUUAAAAAAGUUAGAGGCCUGGGAUGCCAGGCAUCACAGGUGGGUCCUCUGCCAGCCUGGGGAAGCAGCUUCGGCCUGGUCCUGGGUCGCCACAGAGCAGCCCAAGGACAACCCGAGGGACGGUCCGGAGCCCACCCAGGCCUCACAGCCCUCCGCCAGUUUCAAGGCUCUGAGGAAGGCUAUCCAGAAGCCACCGAGCUGGCUCACCAGAGCAUGGCAACAGUGUAAGAAGGUGGUCUGCACCUGUACCAAGGGCUCCAACUAAUCCCCUGCCCAAACCACCUAGCCCACUGCAUUAGAUUUUUUUUUAAUUUUUUUAAAAUAUAUUUUAUUUGAUCAUUUCCAAGCAUUAUUCGUUAAAGACAUAGAUCAUUUUCUUUUCCUCCCCCCCACCCCCAUAGCCGACGCGUAAGUCCACUGGUUAUUACAUGUUUUCUUGAUUUGAACCCAUUUCCAUGUUGAUAAUAUUUGCAUUGGAGUGUUCCUUUAGAUUCUCUCCUCUGUCAUGUCCCCUCAACCGCUGUAUUCAGGCAGUUGCUUUUCCUCGGUGUUUCCACUCCCAUAGUUUAUCCUUUGCUUAUGAAUAGUGUUUUUUUCUCCUGGAUCCUGCAUAUUGUUCAGGGACAUUACACCGCCACUAAUGGAGAAGUUCAUUACAUUCGAUUAUACCACAGUGUAUUAGUCUCUGUGUACAAUGUUCUCCUGGUUCUGCUCCUCUCGCUCUACAUCGCUUCCUGGAGGUUGUUCCAGUCUCCAUGGAAUUCCUCCACUUUAUUAUUCCUUUUAGCACAAUAGUAUUCCAUCACCAACAUAUACCACAAUUUGCUCAGCCAUUCCCCGAUUGAUGGGCAUCCCCUCGUUUUCCAGUUUUGGGCCACCACAAAGAGCGCAGCUAUGAAUAUUUUUGUACAAGUCUUUGUGUCCAUUAUCUCUUUGGGGUACAGACCCAGCAGUG